Long non-coding RNA from Orcinus orca (killer whale), 11955 nucleotides. RefSeq lists it as uncharacterized. The record is from RefSeq and is a predicted model, not a curated record. NCBI's taxonomy places the organism in Eukaryota, Metazoa, Chordata, Mammalia, Artiodactyla, Delphinidae. The transcript has 2 exons.
AGGGCCGGAGUCUGAGGGUUCAGGAGGCAAGGGGCGGAGCCCUGAGGGAUUCGGGGCCUGGAGGAGGUGAGGAGGCAUUGGGACCCAGGCUUGGGCUCUUCUGAGAGUUCGGCGUCACAGAAUAGGCGGCGGGAGGAAGAGGAGGAGGAGGAGGCUGUACCUGUAGGGUCGUGACCACAUUUAAGGCGACAGGAUCCUUGCCUAAAGCGCGGGGUCUGCGACCGGACUGGAAGAAUGGGAAGGCUGCUCGGUGUGAUUCCAAACCUCCUUAGAAUCUGAUCCCUUAGGCAGUGCCUAGCCCGGUCAGGUCCCAGGUCCUGAACUGGUCCUGGCUGGUGUAACCUAGGUGCCAAGGUUAAGGUAAAGCCUGACACUGCUAACGAUUCCUUCGUUCCAGCACGAUUUUUCACACUCUGCUUUCUCUUUCCUGGCAAGGGAUGGACCCACUCACUCACUGAUUGCCUCGGUCUAGACCGCUGUUCCCCAGAGAGCCGGUGGCUCGCUCCCACCCUUCCCGCAGGAAUCUGCUCAGAUGUUUACCACGGGAGAGGUUCUCCUGACCAAAGUAUCUAAAAUUGCAGUUCCCGCCGACCUCCCAACGGCAUCCCCUAACCCUCUGUUUUCCUUGUAGUUCCUACCGCCGCCUGGCAUCACGCCCACGCAAGGCAUGGCGGAGACAGCUGGCGGGAGCUGAGAGGGAAGACAGCAUGAACACUGGGGUUGAGACUUCGGGGUGUGGUGGGGGAGAGAUCUGAGUAGGCGCCCGGUUUGCAGUUAACUCUAGAGGAUUAAUGAACUGUAACGCUGGGGAGGCGAGCAGGCCUAGACGGGGGUGGAUCUUGUACCUCUGACUUACUUCAUGUACCCUGUCUUGGAACACUGGAUGAAUAUUAAUUAGAUCAUUGUUACAAAUUAGUUGCCUUUGAUUAUAGGAUUGACAAAGGCAACUAAUUUGUCAAUUAGUCUCGUCAUUUUUGUGGUGGCCAAACAGGCCAGAAAGUGGAACUUUAGAAGCCUGCAUGUGGCCUUGCCAGCACAAAGCAGUUAAGCCAGCUGAAAACUGACCUUUUAACCCUCUAACCAAGUGCAGUCGUUACAUAAAAAACAAGUAGCUUUUCAAAAACUUAGUAUUUUAAUAAGAAAAAGUAGGAUGCAAUCCAUACUAAACUUAGACCCCAAAUAAUUUCACAAAUAGAAAAAUAUAUCAGUUGAACAAUGAGAAUAGUUAUAUAAGCAACAAAAAAUAAUUUGAAAAUAAGCAAAGUUUGUAUGCACAAUGUAACCAAAAAUUGACCUUUUAAAUGUUUGCACUUUGGAAUUUCUUGAGAAAAGAUAGUCCCUCCUGAGCUUUAGGACUGGUGGCUACUGUCAGCUUUGCCUUACUGUCCACCACUUUGCUGUACCAUUUCUCACCCCAAACCCUCCCCCACCUUCUCCCUCCCCCUAGGUAGAAGUUCUGGCCCUCCCUAGGGAACCCUCCCCAAGUGGCACGUGAGGCUGUGAGAGCAGAGCUCCUCUGAACACACAGCUGGCAGGGCUCUGCAGGGUGGUUUUCUUUUCUUUUUCAAUCUUAAUAUUUUUUUUUGUUUUAUUGGAGUAUAAUUGCUUUACAAUGUUGUGUUAGUUUCUGCUGUACAAUGUAUACGUAUAUCCCCUCCCUCUUGGACCUCCCUCCCACCCAUCCCCAUCCCACCCAUCUAGGUCGUCACAGAGCACUGAGCUGAGCUCCCUGUGCUAUACAGCAGGUUCCCACUAGCUAUCUGUUUUACACACGAUAGUGUAUAUAUGUCAAUCCUAAUCUCCCAAUUCAUCCCACCCUCCCCUUCCCCCACUGUGUCCACAUGUCCAUUCUCUAUGCCUGCGUCUCUAUUCCUGCCCUGGAAAUAGGUUCAUCUGUACCAUUUUUCUAGAUUCCACAUACAUGCGUUAAUAUACGAUAUUUGUUUUUCUCUUUCUGACUUACUUCCCUCUGUAUGACAGACUCUAGGUACAUCCACAUCUCUACAAAUGACCCAAUUUCAUUCCUUUUUAUGGCUGAGUAAUAUUCCAUUGUAUAUAUUUACCACAUCUUUAUCCAUUCAUCUGUCGUUGGACAUUUAGAUUGUUCCAUGUCCUGGCUAUUGUAAAUAGUGCUGCAAUGAACUUUGGGGUACAUGUGUCAUUUUGAAUUAUGGUUUUCUCAGGGUGUAUGUCCAGUAGUGGGAUUGCUGGGUCAUAUGGUAAUUCUAUUUUUAGUUUUUUAAGGAACCUCCAUACUGUUCUCCACAGUGGCUGUAUCAAUUUACAUUCCUACCAACAGUGCAAGAGGGUGCAGGGUGGUUUUCUAUUCCUCUUUUAGCCUUGUUGGUUGGGUGACAAUGUGUCAGUGUUGCAAAGGGGAAACGUGCUCCCAGAUGUGUGCACUGGGCAUGAUGAACUCCACAGAGAAUUAUCAUCCCCAGGAAACCCAAUUCAAGCAAAUGUGCUUGACUGACCUCACCAAGGUCUCAGUUAUGAAGACCUCUCAGUUCUCAAAUGGAAGGAGGAAGGAAUUAACAUUUAUAUGCCAAGCACAUUACAUGUGAUAUCUCAUCCAGUGCUCACAAAGAAUACCUUUAUUAUUCACAGUUUUCUGAGGCUCAUAAAGGUAAUAGCUUCAUGCAGCUCACACAAAGCUGAAUUUGAAUCCUGGUCCGCUAAUGUCCAAGCUCACGCUCUGCUCAUCUCCUGUGACUCGGUAUUCAACUUUAGCUCAAAGUUUGUGAAAUGUGGCUGGAUAGUGAAAGUGUGGGAAUCUUGGCUUGGCCAGGUCACAAGUGUCAAUUUUUUGAGCCAUAAGACAAUGAAGUGCCAAGAACAAAUCUGUCCUCAGUAAACCACACCGUGUAUUUCUAACACCAGUCUCAGAGAUCUGUGCCAGAUCCAAGGUGGUUUGUGUGACUUCACUGAUUUUGUGUGAAUGGCCACUCCCACUCACUUGAAGCAGGGUAGAAUGGGUGAGAAUGUAAUGGCUAAUGGGUAGUCAAUCAGGGUUCUAAAUGACAAAUGACAACCUCUCUGGGCUUCAGUGCCUCAUCUAUAAAAUGAGAAAGUUAGACCUAGAUGGACUAAGGUCCCUUCUUUUAGAAAACUGGGGUAGAUAAUUUUUUUAAAUUGAGAUAUAAUUCCCGUAUCAUACAAUUUGCCCGUUUAAAGUAUAUGAUUCACUGGUUUUAGUGUAUUCACCGAGUUGUGCAGCCAUCACCACAGUCAAUUUUAGGACAUUUUCAUCACUGCACCCUUUAGCUAUCACCUCUGACCCCCUCAUCCUCCCUAGACCUACGUAACCACUAAUCUCCCCUUUGUCUCUAUAGAUGUCCCUGUACUGGACAUUUCACAGAAAUGGAAUCAUAUAGUAUGUGGCCUCUUGUGUCUGACUCCUUUUGCUUAAGAUGUUUUCAAGGUUUGUCCAUAUUGUAGCAUGUGUCAGUGCUCCAUUACUACAUAACAUUCCAUUGUAUGGGUAUACUAUAUUUUAUCCAUUUAUCAGUUGAUGGACUGGGUUGUUUCCACCUUUUGGAAACUGUGAACAUUCAUGUACUGCUGUGAACAUUCAUGUACAAGUUUUCAUGUGGGCAUAUGUGGUUUUUUUAAAUUAAUUAAUUAAUUUUGGUGGGCAGCAUUGGGUCUUCUAAAAAAAGUCCCUGUCUUUUUUUAUAAAUAAAGUUUUAUCAGAAACUCCACACCCAUUUGUUUACAUACUGCCCAUGGCUGCUUUCAUACUGUAACAGCAGAGUUGAAUAGUUGCAACAGAGAUUGUGUAGCCCACAGAGCCUAGAAUAUUGACUAUCUGGUCCUUAACAGAAAACGUUUGCUGACUCAUCUAAAUCAAAUGGACUCUGACACCGUUCUCCCUAUCAAGCCCCAAACACUCUCAACCCAGUUUCCUCCCCAGUCUGCUCCACUCCAGCUUGUCUGCCCUCCUCUCUGUCCCUCUUGAAGAAAGAGAAAAAUAGAUUCCUCCUUCCAUGUGUAGAAAAGGAAGGCCCAGAUGAAACCGAGUAUGGUCAGGUUUCUGUUCCUCCUCAGCAGUAGUGGGGGCACAGGACUAGGAAGGGGACCACCAGCUGCUCCCUGAAUCCCACCUCUCUCCACCCCCAGCUAAAGACUGACUGAGGGAGAGGGAAGCCUGGUCCCUGGUUUGCUCUGUGGUCUGGGAGAAGUCCCUGCCUCUCCAAGCCUCAUCAUUCCCCUCCUGUUACCAGAGGAGAGGGAAUAGACAGAUCCCAAAGAUGAUUCCAGUUCUCACAUUCUAGGACUAGGACCAUGACCUCCAUGCCCCUCUCCAAAGGCAAAGCAAGAAACCAGCUGUUAACAGAGCACGGUAAUAAAAAGUUCAUAAGCCAUAGCUGGCCACAAUCAAUCCUGGUAAUUCCUCACUUCUCCAGAGGGUAGGCAUACACUCAAAACAGAGGAGAUGUGAGCCUGGUCAGACAGGGCUGGACCAGCCCACUUGACAGACCCCAGGCCCAGGGGGUACAGCAGAGCUUGGGCAGUGGCAAUGUCACCUGCUUUCUCCAUCCUAUCACAUCCCAUGGAAUCAACAACUAUGGGAUAGGUUCAGUGUCUGGAGGCAGUGGCCCUUCUGCAGUAACUCCCAGAUCUCCACCUACAUCUGGGACCCAGGUCUCCCCACAGUUCCAGCCACACCCACAGUGGCCAACAUUUAUCCAGCACUUACUUUCUAUGCAUUUGAUCCUCUCCACAACCUGAUGAGGUGGGGAUGCUUAUCAUCAACUCCAACUCCUCCUGGGUGUCUUUUCUCAGCUAGCCUGUCUGACCUGCCCCUCUACCUGUGUUUUCAAUUCAGUGAAUGAUUCCAGCAAUUGGUGUGUUCGUUUUCUAUUGUUGUUGUAAUAUAUGACCACUUAGUGCCUUAAAACAAUAUCCUUUUAUUCUCUCCCAGGUUUGCAGGUUAGAAGUCCAGGAUGGCAUGGCUGGGUUCCUUGAUCAGUGCUUACAAAGGUACCAGUUCCACAGACAGUCUCUGCCCUCCUGGAGCUUUCUGUGUUGUGAGAUGGAGGGACCCCAACAAUGAACAUGGCUGCGGUAAGUGCUGAGAGUGGCCAUUCUAUUGGGCCCUGCCACCAGGCUGUCUUCAGCCCUGCCCUCCCCCUUCUUCACCUCCAGGCUUUACCAGCACCCCCUCCCCCCAGCCAUUCCACAAAUCUCAGUAGGAAGCAGCUUUUUCCCAGAUCUCUUCCUAGGUUCCAGUUCUUAGAGUUCCUGAUGCUUCCCAGUCAUGGAACACAGCAGUAGAGUUCAUUUGGAACCCCUGGGGAGGCAAGGACUUUCUCUAGCUCCCUCUGAUGCCUGGCACGGUGUUUGACACAUACUAGAUGCUCAGUACAUUUUUUGGAAUGAAUAGAGAGUCCGAUAGGCAAUGGUGGAGACACAAACCUCCUCAGCAUCUUCUCUACUCCUGACGGUCUGCGAACUCCACAGAAAAUGCUGGCAGCAAAAACUCCAGCCGCUCAGAGUUCUAGCCCAUGGGUGCCUACGCUGGCAUCCUCUGCCCUGGCCUUAGCUGUAAAUUGCAGCUGGAGCCCCAGGAUGUUGCUGCUUGGGGAUCAGCUAUUUCAGGACCAGAGCUCACUCCAUGGCACGAAGUCUGGCAGGCAUGCCAGUGUCAAGUCCAAGGAGAGCAAGGGAGAAGGAUGAGAUUUUCUGGGCACAAGAACAGAAAAUGUGCCCAUCAAGCACUAUGCUCAAGAAUCCCGUUAAGCAGUGGGAGGCAGCUGGCACUGUGGAGACAGGGCAGGUUUUGCAUGCACGUGCAUGCACCCAGAAACACACACACACACACACACACUCACAUCAACACAUCACCAACUUCUACCAAAACAGCAAAGAAAACAGGAGAGUCUCCAACAGAGGAGAGAUUUCCCUGAUUUUUGAGAGCAUGCAAAGCCAAUGGAAGAGGGUAGCAGAUGAAGCGGGUUGGCAGAGCUGCAGCCCAGGAGAGGCUUCGGGGGUGGCGGGGGCACUGCAGAGGGAACUUGCCUUGCAUGGCACCCACAGGCCCCGGGACUGUGUGAGUGGGAGUCAGAACUGAAACAGUGGCAGCACCGGCCCGCACCACCUCCUCCUCUCUCCAGGCAGCCCCAGACAAAAAACCCAUCUGGGAAAAGCACGGGCUUUCAGUAGGUGUUGGUGGCCCAAAGUAGAGUCUGCCUCAGGCUGCGAUUGGGGAUCCAGGGCUGACAACGGACUCAGUGGCCACCCUCCCCCUCUCCCCACCACCAACUGGAGCCACAGUCCAUGGCCCACAGCAGCUGCCUCAGCACAAAGUGCCCAACCAUAACACAAAGUGUCUCGUGGAACUGUCUCAGCUUCCCAUCUGUUAAAUGUCUGGAUUAGGUGGUCGCUAGGGUCCCUUGGACUUCUAAAAAUAUCAUCCUCCCCACUAGUUUUAUCCCUGCCAGAAAUCAAAUCCACAUGCCACUGGCCGCCCCAGGUCACUGGCUGGGAAAGUGGGAAGGAGGGAGAGUCAAUGCUGAUGCCCUACAUUAACCCUAACCCUAACCCUCCUAAGGGCCAGCAUUCCCAGUGUCAAAUUGUGUCCCCCAAAGCCAUCUGUUCAAGUGCUAAUCCUUGGUACCUGUGCACAUGACCUUAUUUGGAAAUAGGGUUUUGUAGAUGUAAUCAAGUAAAGAUGAGCUCAUUAGGGUGGACCCUAAUACAAUAUGACUGGUGUCCUUAUAAGAAGAGGGAAAAAUGCCAUGUGACAAUGGAGGCAGAGAUUAGAGAGAUGUGUCUACAAGCCAAGGAACACCAGGGAUAGCAGUGACACCAGAAGCUAAGAGAAAGGUACAGAACAGAUUCUCCCCUAGAACCUGCAGAGAAAGCACAGCCCUGCGGAUACUUUGAUUUUGGACUUCUAGCCUCUAGAAUUAUGAGACAAUAAGUUUGUAUUGUUUUAAGCCAAGCCAGCCCUAGGAAACUAACACACCGAGCCAGUCCCCAGGAUAUGCUUAUUGAACAAAUGAAUACCUCUCCUCCCCACCCCAAUCUAUCAUCAUGAGGGAACAGAAAAGGAAGCAGACCCACCCCUCAGAUUGGAAGGGUUCAGGGCAAGAGCAUAGAUGGAGUCCUGUUCCCUCCUCCUCUAUUUCCACCUAUCCGUCCCACCCUGUUCUGUAUAGUGAGGGACCCACACUCUGUCCACGAAUUCCCCCACACACACACCUUGGCCUCCCUUCAGGGACAGCUCUCUCUCUGAAUAGCAGAUCGAAGGAGAGGUCUGGGCAGGCAGUAGUAAUGGACUCAGGGCUGACUGGGCAGGGAAUUCCUGGACCUGGAGGAUUGGGGGUGGGGAGACACACCCCCUUGAUCUUGCAAAUGCCUCACCCCAGCCCACUAAAGCUCAGGCCCAGAAGUGAACAGCCACACAUCCAGCAUGCACCUAACAGCAGCAGGGAGCCCUUUCCUGGCAGCAUCUCACUCAAUCCUCAUUCUGUUUUAAAGGCGAAAAAGCUGAAGCACAGUAAAGUUGAAGAAUCUGUCCAGGGCUAAAAAGCUGAUAAACUAUAUAUCUGGGAUCAAAUCCUGAUCUGUUUGACUCCCAGACACUUCCUUUCUCCAUAUAACAUGCUUUUCCCUAGACCUGGUUUAAUUGGUAAACUGCCAAAACCUUAUAAAAUAGUUUAAAAACAAACAAUUUUUUAAAAAAACAAGCCAUCAAAGUAACUUAGUACUAGAGAAAGAAUAGAGAGGCUGGAAAUAGACCCAAACACAUAUUAGAAUCUAGUAUAUCACAAAAGCUUUUUAAAUAAAUGGAUGGAAAGGGAAAGAAUUCAAUAAAUGGCAUCAGGACAAUGGCAAGCCAUCUGGAAGAAAGCAAAGCUGGAGCCCUGCCUUGUCGCUCACACUCGCCAGUAAAACUGAUGAUCAAAAUUUUUCAUAUAAACAAUAAAACCACAAAAGCACUAGAAAUUUUUCCUUAAAAUACAAAAAGAUUUUCCAAAGCACUAAGAGACAACUCUAUAGAAAAACUGGACAAGAACAGAACAGAAAGUUCACAGAAAAGGAAACAUAAAUGACCUAUAAAAAUAUGAAAUGUCAGCACCCUUCUGAACUAAAGAAAUGUAAAUGAAAACAGACACAACAACCUCCUCCCCCUGAAAAAAGAUUGCUAAAACCCAGUCUUUGAAAGCGAUGGAGAGACACUGUUAGAACAAGUGUAAACUGCCCCUCUUUAGAGGACAAUUGGACCAUACUGCAUCCAUCAAAACAUAAAUGUUAGGGAUUUAUCCCCGGAGAGACUCACAAAAGUACCAAAGAUAGUGCACAAGAUUCACUGCAAACUUGCUCAAAAUAGCAAAAACACUAAAACUAAAGUCCUUCAGUAGGGGCUGGUUAAAUACAUUAUAGAAAUCCAUACAACAUGAUAUGACAACACAUUAAAAGAAUAAGAUCUAUCUAUCUAUCUAUGGUGAAUAAGAUUUAUCUCUAUCUAUGGUGAAAUCUAUCUAGAUUUAUCUCUAUCUAUCUCUAUCUAUGGUGAUUUAUCUCUAUCUAUAGAAAUCCAUACAACAUGAUAUGACAACACAUUAAAAGAAUAAGAUUUAUCUAUGGUGAAGUAGAAAAAUUUCCCAGCUAUGUUGAUAAGUGGAAACAAGUUGCCAGAACAAUAUGUUAUUUAAUGUACAUAAACAAACAAAUAUAUAUGUAUAUAUUUGCAUAUAUACACGAAAACUUAAUAGUGAAUAUCUCUGGAGAGCUUAAAUCAGGGAAGAGGUGUUAGGGAGGAAAGACAUUUAACUUUUGCUUUAUACUCUUGUGUACUAUCUGAAAAUGUUUUUAACAUAAAUAUUAUCACCUUUAAAAUAAUACAUUUUAAAUUCCAAAGCCAAAAUCCUGACGCUAUAGAAACCCAACUUUCUGAAGAGCCAAGCUGACUUUUCUAAGCUCUCAGCUUUACACAGUAAGGUUUGUCCCAAGCAGUUGUGUUUGAGGAAGCUUCCAUCCUCUGGAAUCCCACUUGAUGAUCCCUCUCUCCUUAGCCUCUGUUCUGAAAUCUCAGGCUUCACUUUUGGGGAGAUACCAACUGCCGCUAAGGCAACUGAACUUCUAUUUGAACUUCAGCUCCUAGAGUAAGCAUCUAGCUUGAUAAAUAAAAAGUCAAUUAAAAACUCAUCCUUAAUUUAAAAAUGGGCAAGUAAACAUUUCUCCUAAGGUAUGCAAACAGCCAUUAAGCACAUGAAAAGUUGCUCAGCAUCAUUAGCCAUCAGGCAAAUGCAAAUCAAAACCACAGUGAGAUAUUACUUCACACCCACUAGGAUAACUAUAAUGAAAAAGUCAGAUAACAGCCAGUAUUGAUGAGAAUGAGGAGAAAUUGGAACACUUGUACGCUGCUGGUACGAAUGUGAAAUGGUGCAGCCAUUUUGGAAAACAGCCUGGCAGUUCCCCCAAAAGCUUAAGAGUUACCACGGACCCAGCAAUUCUAUUCUAGGUACAUACCCAGAGACGAAUCAAAAACAUAUGCCCAUAUACCCUGAGAAAACCAUAAUUCAAAAAGAGUCAUGUACCACAAUGUUCAUUGCAGCACUAUUUACAAUAGCCAGGACAUGGAAGCAACCUAAGUGUCCAUCGACAGAUGAAUGGAUAAAGAAGAUGUGGCACAUAUAAACAAUAGAAUAUUACUCAGCCAUAAAAAGAAACGAAAUUGAGUUAUUGGUAGUGAGGUGGAUGGACCUAGAGACUGUCAUAGGAGUGAAGUAAGUAAGAAAGAGAAAAACAAAUACCGUAUGCUAACACAUAUAUAUGGAAUCUAAAAAAAAAAAAAAGGUUCUGAGGAACCUAGGGGCAGGACACGAAUAAAGACACAGACGGAGAAUGGACUUGAGGACAUAGGGAGGGGAAGAGUAAGCUGGGACGAAGUGAGAGAGUGGCAUGGACAUACAUACACUACCAAAUGUAAAGUAAAUAGCUAGUGGGAAGCAGCCGCAUAACACAGGGAGAUCAGCUUGGUGCUUUGUGACCACCUAGAGGGGUGGGAUAGGGAGGGUGGGAGGGAGCCGCAAGAGGGAAGGGAUAUGGGGAUAUAUGUAUACGUAUAGCUGAUUCACUUUGUGAUGCAGCAGAAACUAUAACACACAAUUGUAAAGCACUUAUACUCCAAUAAAGAUGUUAAAAAAAAACCAAAACAUAUGCCCUGAGGGCUUCCCUGGUGGCGCAGUGGUUGAGAGUCUGCCUGCCGAUGCAGGGGACACGGGUUCGUGCCCCGGUCCGGGAAGAUCCCACAUGCCGCGGAGCGGCUGGGCCCAUGAGCCAUGGCCGUUGAGCCUGCGCGUCCGGAGCUUGUGCUCCGCAACGGGAGCUUGUACUCCGCAACAGUGCGAGGCCCACAUACCUCAAAAAAAAACCCAAAAACAAACAAAAAACAAAAAACAAACAUAUGCCCUGGGACUUCCCUGGUGGCACAGUGGUUAAGAAUCUGCCUGCCAAUGCAUGGGACAUGGGUUUGACCCCUGGUCUGGGAAGAUCCUACAUGCCGUGGAGCAACUAAGCCCGUGCACCACAACUGCUGAGCCUGUGCCCUAGAGCCUGCGAGCCACAACUACAUUUAAGCCCAUGCGCCUAAAGCCCGUGCUCCGCAACAAGGGAAGCCACCGCAAUGAGAAGCCUGCGCGCCGCAAUGAAGAGCAGCCCCCGCUCGCUGCAAUUAGAGAAAGCCCACACGCAGCAGCAAAGACCCAACGCAGCCAAAAAUAAAUAAAUAAAUAAAUAAAUAAAUAAAUAAAUAAAUAAAUAAAUAAAAAGUUAUUUAUAAAAAAAAAAAGACAGCGGGCUAGAUUUGUUGCAUGGGCUGUAUGUAGCUCACUGUAGUUCCUUGUUUGGAUGGUGGUGGCGGUGCUGGUGGUGGCAGCAGCGGCUUCCCCUAUCCUCACCUCCUUUUUAUCAUCAAUACCAUUAUUUGGAACCCAGUUAUGGAAGGUUUUAGACACCUAAAUAAUUUGCUGACAACACAGAGCCAUUAAAAUAUUUUUAAAAAAUAGAAAUAUGAUUGUUUUCAGUUUUAAAAAAUUUUGAAUAAGUAAUAUAUUCACAUGGUUCAAAAUUAUACCGAAAAGUUAUACAGUGAGAAGUGUCCCUCCCACCCCUAUUUCAGUUACCAAUUUUACUAACCAGAAGCAACCAAUGAGACCCAUUUCCUACUUCGCCUUCUAUAGAUAGACCAUAUCUUGUCUAUAUACAAAUGCUUUUCCCAUUUUUAUAGAAAAAGUAGCAUGCUAUGCGUAAUAUUCUGCACCUUGCUUUUUUCAAUAGAGGAGUGUUCCUAUUAAAUGUUUGGUGUUUCUAUUAAGAUAGCAUUAACAAAUUAUUUUAUCACUGUUUACGAGAGGUUUGACAUCUUCCUAAUGUUGAAUCUUCCUAUUUGCUCAGAUCUUUUAUGUGCUCAAUAUUUCAAAUUUUCUUCAUCUUUAUCUUGAUAAGUAUAUUCCUAGGUGUUUUAGGUCCUUCUUUUAUAUCUUCUGAUUGUCAUUGGCAUAUACAAAAGCCACCGUACUGACUUCUUUUAUACUUUAGAAUAGUGUUUUGGGCUUUGGGUUUUCCAUGUUUAUAAUCAUAUUAUUUGCAAAUGAUGAUGGUUUUAUCUACUCUUUUCCUGUUUUUAUACCUCUAGUUUCUUUCUCUUGUCCAAUUGCAUUGGUUGUACCUCCAGAAAAGGUUAAAUAAUGAUGGAAGAAGACAACUUUGUGUUGUUUCUUACUUUAAUGAAAGUGCUUCUGGAAGAUGAUGUUUGGGUUGUUUUUAUAAAUGUUUACCUUAUUCUAUUUUAUCAAGAAUGUUUACUAAAAAUAUGUGUUGGGUUUUAUCAAUUGCCCUGUUAAUAUAUAUUGAUAAGACUUUUCCCCUCAUUUUCUCUAUUAAUAUGGUGCUUUAUAUUAGCAGAGUUCCUAAUAUUAAACCAUCCUUGUCUUUUUGGAAUAA